CGCGGGCUUAAGGGCUGAGGCAGAAGGAGGGAAGGACUGGGAGACAGACUAAACACCAGCGAGCAGAGCUCAGCUAUCUAGUUGACAGACCUCGCCGAGUUAACAGUUCUGCAUUCCAGGAAGCCGACAUAGUAAGCUCUAAGGACAGUGGCCAUGGAGACAGUGAACA
Molecule: non-coding RNA, 169 nt
Organism: Manis javanica (Malayan pangolin)
Lineage: Eukaryota; Metazoa; Chordata; Mammalia; Pholidota; Manidae
Source: RefSeq, a predicted model, not a curated record